CAGCCGCCGCGGGAAUACGAAGGGUGCAAGCGUUACUCGGAAUUUCUGGGCGUAAAGCGUGCGUAGGUGGUGGUUUAAGUCCGUUGUGAAAGCCCUGGGCUCAACCUGGGAAUUGCAGUGGAUACUGGGUCACUAGAGUGUGGUAGAGGAUAGUGGAAUUUCCGGUGUAGCAGUGAAAUGCGUAGAGAUCGGAAGGAACAUCUGUGGCGAAGGCGACUAUCUGGGCCAACACUGACACUGAGGCACGAAAGCGUGGGGAGCAAACAGGAUUAGAUACCCGUGUAGUCCCUGUCUCUUAUAC
Molecule: ribosomal RNA, 301 nt
Filed under: uncultured bacterium
Lineage: Bacteria
Description: partial 16S ribosomal RNA
Rfam family: Bacterial small subunit ribosomal RNA
Source: RNAcentral